CUGCAGCCAAUUAAGCCGACUGGGUUCCUUUCCUCAUGAGGGCCCAGUGUGCAAUGGCUGCAAACAGCAGCUUCCUUGGUAGUGUAUGCAGCCUGUUUCUUGUACGGGUUGCUCUAAGGAACCUUGGAGACGGGC
RNAcentral lists this small nucleolar RNA (135 nucleotides) under Saimiri boliviensis boliviensis (Bolivian squirrel monkey). Its description in RNAcentral is "Small nucleolar RNA SNORA70 (ENSSBOG00000036374.1)". It matches the Rfam family "Small nucleolar RNA SNORA70". Rfam says of the family: snoRNA U70 seems to be exclusive to mammals and is a member of the H/ACA class of snoRNA which contain H (ANANNA) and ACA box motifs. The record is from Rfam by way of RNAcentral. Lineage: Eukaryota; Metazoa; Chordata; Mammalia; Primates; Cebidae.